This 253-nucleotide ribosomal RNA is filed under the name uncultured bacterium. RNAcentral's name for it is "partial 16S ribosomal RNA". It matches the Rfam family "Bacterial small subunit ribosomal RNA", at positions 524 to 776 of the family's 1533-position model. The record is from RNAcentral.
UACGGAGGGUGCAAGCGUUGUCCGGAUUUAUUGGGUUUAAAGGGUGCGUAGGCGGCUUAUUAAGUCAGGGGUGAAAGACGGUGGCUCAACCAUCGCAGUGCCUUUGAUACUGAUGAGCUUGAAUACACUUGAGGUAGGCGGAAUGAGACAAGUAGCGGUGAAAUGCAUAGAUACGUCACAGAACACCAAUUGCGAAGGCAGCUUACUAUGGUGUCAUUGACGCUGAGGCACGAAAGCGUGGGGAUCAAACAGG